UACGUAGGUGGCAAGCGUUAUCCGGAAUUAUUGGGCGUAAAGAGCGCGCAGGUGGUUAAUUAAGUCUGAUGUGAGAGCCCACGGCUUAACCGUGGAGGGUCAUUGGAAACUGGUUGACUUGAGUGCAGAAGAGGGAAGUGGAAUUCCAUGUGUAGCGGUGAAAUGCGUAGAGAUAUGGAGGAACACCAGUGGCGAAGGCGGCUUCCUGGUCUGUAACUGACACUGAGGCGCGAAAGCGUGGGGAGCAAACAGG
RNAcentral lists this ribosomal RNA (253 nucleotides) under uncultured bacterium. RNAcentral describes it as "partial 16S ribosomal RNA". It matches the Rfam family "Bacterial small subunit ribosomal RNA", at positions 524 to 776 of the family's 1533-position model. The record is from RNAcentral.